AAGGUCUUAGUCUUAAACCUAUCAUUACUUAUAAUCAAGACUAUACAUGCAAGCCUCAACGCCCCUGUGAGUACCUAUAGCAUCAGGCACGUCUACGACAGCCCACAACGCUAAGCCAAAUUCUGUGCCACACCCACACGGACCCCAGCAGUAAUUAACUUUGAGCCAUGAACGAAAGCCCGACUCAGCUAUGGUUAUACUAACACUGGUAAAUUUCGUGCCAGCUACCGCGGUUAUACGAACCAAGUUACAAGUAAUGAUCCAACGGCGUAAAGAGCAGCCAUAACUGCAACCACACAUUAAAAGCCAAUAAGGCCUUUAUGAUUAAAUAUAAGCCCUUAGAACAACAAAACUUUUAAUCACAAGUUGAUUAGACCUGCGAAACCCAGGGCACAAACUAGGAUUAGAUACCCUACUAUGCCUGGGCAUUAAUACAUGACAAACCCAAUACUAACCACUUUGUUCGCCAGAAAAUUACGGGCGAAAGCCUAAAACUCAAAAGACUUGACGGUGUCUCAACCCUACCUAGAGGAGCCUGUUCCAUAAUCGAUAAUCCCCGAUCAACCCGACCACCCAUUGUCCCAUUCAGCCUAUAUACCGCCGUCGCCAGCUUACCUUUUGAAAGACAAACAGUAAGCCCAAUAGCCCCCUUUACUUUAAAGCUAAAAAGUCAGGUCAAGGUGUAGCUUAUAGGGUGGAGGAAAUGGGCUACAUUUUCUACAAUUAGACAAAACGAACUACUGUCCUGAAACGGACUUACGAAGGUGGAUUUAGCAGUAAGUCAAACAAGAGUGUUUGACUAAACACAGCUCUGAGACAUGUACACACCGCCCGUCACCCUCCUCAACAAAAACUUAAUUACAAUAUAUAAUAAACUAAAACCCACAAGAUGAGGCAAGUCGUAACAAGGUAAGUGUACUGGAAAGUGCACUUGGACAAC
This 940-nucleotide non-coding RNA is filed under the name Callopistes maculatus. Its description in RNAcentral is "12S rRNA". It matches the Rfam family "Bacterial small subunit ribosomal RNA". The record is from RNAcentral. Lineage: Eukaryota; Metazoa; Chordata; Lepidosauria; Squamata; Teiidae.